Apus apus (common swift) is the source of this 1723-nucleotide long non-coding RNA. RefSeq lists it as uncharacterized. NCBI's taxonomy places the organism in Eukaryota, Metazoa, Chordata, Aves, Apodiformes, Apodidae. The record is from RefSeq and is a predicted model, not a curated record. The transcript has 3 exons.
UUGUAUCUGUAGCAACAAAGAAAAAAAAAGCCAAAUGGGAUUUCAAGAUUCAUUUUCAGCAUAGGGAGGCAGAGUAUGAUUGUUGAUUCAUAAACAUUUUGAAAACAUUAAGCAAGUCUGUUCCAGCCAUGCUGUUUUGAGAAGCACCUACUGUGACAGAAAAUCAAACUGAGCCAUUGGGAGGGGAAAGAAAUGAGGUAAUAAAUCGUGACAGAAGAGGGAAAAGGGUUAAAUAGGCAAGUUUUGUGGUCUGUGUCCUUGCUACUGUUUUUAAUUUCUCUUGGUUGGGAAUGUAAUUGUCUGCUGGCUAACUCUGUCUCAGUAAUAUGCAAAUGAAACCCGUUCUGCAUCAGGCUCUACUAGUAGUUCUGUUGGCUGCCCUGAAGAGAUGAGGGUACCACACAAGGUCUUGUCAGAACCAGAAGCUGUUUUCAUCCAAACACGUUCACAACUUCGAUGCUAUGCUCCUCCCUCACCCAGGCUGGGAGGCAAGAUCUCAAGGAGCCAAGCCUCCAGGGGAAGGAGGUCAGAAGUGUUCCUGAGGAGUCUCAUCCUGCCUUCACAGUUCCCAGGCCAUCACCACAUCUCCCACUGGCACCUCUCCCUUCUUCAGUGGGCCAGAAAAGCCCAGGAGUAGGCAGAGCAUGUACAUCCCUCUGCUUCUCACCCUGCCACUGGUUGCUGACAUUUCCUCUGGGGCCUGUUUUUUAAGCUGCAUCAGUUUAAGCUGCACUUUCGUUUUAAAGGAGUAAUUUUUGGUCAAAUGAUCAGGAUGAAGAAAGGAGAAGACAGACCAGGAUAUUCCUCUCCUUCUUCAGUAAUCUUAACACUGUCACAGUUGCCUAUCCAUGGAGGAUGGAUCCCAAAUCAUUUCAGACAAGCUACUGCAGCCCUGAUGAUGAAGACUUUGCAGCUAAUUGUAAGGACCAUACCCUGGAGCUCAGCAAGGUAAUGAAGUGUUCUCUGCUCCUUCGAGAAAUAAUAGACUUGAGACUUUUUACUUGUGCUCCUUACUUGAGCCACCAGGUGUUUGCUCCAGACACAUCAGCAGAACCGAGUUCCACAGGCAGACAAGUCUCUGCUCAGCAAGAAAAUCUCUUGGUCCUGAUUCCGGAAACUCAUUAAAGCAGAGCAAAGCACUGCCAGCAAAGAGCAAUCACUUAGACCUCAAUGUUUGUAUUAAUUUAUCAUGAAUUUUCAAGGAACCGUUGGGUCUUUCCAGUGAGUGCCAGCGGCACCUUGCACUGUCCUGGGGUGUCACCACUAGGUGCCACAGCAGUGUGUGUCACAGCUGGAGCUGCCAGUGUCUGAGGAGGUGGAAGGCUCUGUGCAGACAACCCUCAGAGGCAGCUGCUUCCUCUGGAAUCUGAAACUCCACUACUGCUGCAAGACUGAUUGCCCAGCUCCACCUCUGCACUUGGUGUGUUCUGGCAGACGUUAUCAGUAACUCCCAGAGCAAUCCACGAGGUGAGGAGCCUCACUGCACUGAACGCUGCCUGGUUUAGUUUCUGGCUGCAAAAUGACUGCACACUCUUGCUCUUGCUUUCUUUUCUUCCUAGGAAGCCAUUUUGUUGCAGCUAAAGAAAAUUUCUUCAUGAGUUUUUCCCAUGCUAUAAAAUUUUGAGAAUACUUUUUUUUUUGGUGGAAAUAAUAUUUGAAUGAAAAAGUUGUGCUAAAAAAAUCCACUUUUCUUAUGCAAUAAAUAAAAGUCUGUCUAAAUGGC